This is a non-coding RNA of Acanthosepion pharaonis, 113 nucleotides long. The record is from the annotation of a GenBank genome assembly. Lineage: Eukaryota; Metazoa; Mollusca; Cephalopoda; Sepiida; Sepiidae.
UAUGGCCAGAUCACCUUGAAACACCGGUUGCUGUAUGAUCAGCGAAGUUAAGCAACGUCGAGCCAGGUCAGUAUCUAGAUGGGUGACCGCUUGGGAAUUCCAGGUGCUGUAAG